AGAGCACACAGCACAUGUCUGCAGACCUCACACCCAGGGCAUCCAGACACAGACGUCACUCCAGGAGUGAGGGCAAGAAUCCACCAGCCGCCCUUUGCUGGAGCCUGACCUGUUUCUGUGCAUGGGGCCAGAUGAGUGAGGCCUUGAUGAGCUUUCGUGAGGCUGCAGCCAUGGACCAUUCACCAGAUACUCCUGUGACAGCUCCUUCCCUCUCAUCUCACAUGUGAGAGCAAGCAGAGGGAGAGAAUGAGGAGUGGGAGAUGGAGUGAAGAGGGAAACCAGGAGAGAAAGGGAAAGAAGGGUGGAAGAAAAAGAAAGAAAAGAAGAGGGAAAGAACACAAACUCUGUUUUGCCUCUGGAUUACCAGCCGCUGCCCACAGAUGAGCCACUGU
Mastomys coucha (southern multimammate mouse) is the source of this 392-nucleotide long non-coding RNA. RefSeq lists it as uncharacterized. The record is from RefSeq and is a predicted model, not a curated record. Lineage: Eukaryota; Metazoa; Chordata; Mammalia; Rodentia; Muridae. The transcript is spliced from 4 exons.